RNAcentral lists this long non-coding RNA (1454 nucleotides) under Lonchura striata (white-rumped munia). RNAcentral's name for it is "domestica (Bengalese finch) lncRNA (ENSLSDG00000000410.1)". Lineage: Eukaryota; Metazoa; Chordata; Aves; Passeriformes; Estrildidae. The record is from RNAcentral.
GACCCUGUAGGACGUGCGACAGGGGAAGGUGCCACCGUGCAGGGGACGCUUUUGUCUUCAACACCCUCUACAACAGUGCCAGGUUCUGCCAGGGGACAGUGGACGUCCAGCAGCACCCUGCUGGCAUGGAGAGCCACGGGGACACCCCUCGUGCAGAGCCAGAGUGGCACUCUCCAUCUGGGAGACAGCAGCCCAGGAACCCGCCCGAGCACCGUGCUGGCCACUGACAGCUCAGCUCCAGCGACAGCAGGGACAUCACCCUUUGCUGGGACACUGCAGGGGACACACUGGGGCCUGCCAGCGCUGCCAGGAGGACAGGGCUUUGCUUCCCACCCACAGGAGGGUCCCCACUCUGCCCCUCGCCCCUCUGCACUGUCCCUUGGCCCUGGUGGGAGCCCUUUGGCCAGCACGGCCUGGCCAGCUGUGGGGACAGGCACAGCCUCGCUACCUGCCACACGCAGGGGCUCAGCUCGGCCUGUCCCCACCACCACAGCCAGCACCCCGGUGGUGACAUCUCCUGGCCAGGGAGGAGCUCUGGACCUGACCACGGGGGUCCUGGGCCCAGCUGGCCCGGGAGCUCCCCCUGGGCACGGUCACAUCCCCCCGAGCCCAUCAGCCAUCCCGGAGCAGCCCCCCGGCCCCCUGGCCCCUGGCAGCCCCGCUGUGGCACAGGGUGGGGUGACACACGCCAGUCCUGGAUCCUCCCACAUCCCCUCGUCCCCACAGUCUGCCCCAGGCAGUGGCUCUGCUGGGACCCUGCUCUCGGCCCCGCUGCCUUCCCCAGGGACCAGCUGGGGGUUCCUGGGAUUCGGCCCCACCGUGGGCACCCCUCUAGGAGACCCCUCCCCAGGGCUGCCCCGUUCCAGCUCGAGGGUGGGUCCUGCUGAGAACCCUCCAUCCUUGGGGGGGACCCAGGUGGGAGUGGGCAGCCUGGCACCCCCCUCAGCACCUGGGCCUCCCCAGCAGCCAGCUUUGUCCCAGUCUUCACCUUCCCUAGGACCAACCACUGCUGUUGGUGUCACCACCACCCAUGUCACUGCCACCAUCACAGCUGCCACCAGCCCAGAAAGGCUCGGGGACAUGGGCGCAGUCACAGCAGGGCCCCGUGCUGCUGUACUGCAGAGGGAUGGGCAGGGGGUGACAUGGGGAUCCCCGACUCAUGUGCCCGCUGUGAUGCCCGGGCCCCCCCAGCAGCCCACAGAUUCCCCAGGUGGGGGCCCCGGGUCCCCCCCAGCUGCUGUGGACACAGACCUGGUCCAGCCAUCGAGCAGCCCCAGAGGGAGGACAGACACCGACACCGCCCGGGUGACGCUGGCUGGGGUGGGCAGGGCCCCCCAGGUGUUCAUCGUGGAAGAUCAGCCCCCGCUCCUGAGAGCGUCCCUCCUGCGCGUCCCCUGUGAGCUGGUGCUGGACAUGGCCUUCGUCCCGGCCCUGCAGGACCCCGGGUCCCGGGA